GGUGGACUUUGUGUUUGUGAUUGUGAAAAUGUGAGUGUGUGUCUGUGUAUGUGUGAACCAGGGAUCCCACUUGACAAGUUGACCUUGUCUAGAGGAGCAUUAGUGGAAAAAAACAGGGUAGCCCUGAGACAAUAGGAUGCCGUCACGACCAAUGAGACUGGCCUGCAGGGGGCGCAAGGAUUCACUUCUCUCUUGGACACUGGCGGGUGUAGACACGGUGGAUUUUGUGACGAGCGGAUUUACAAUGAGGGAAUGCUGUGAACGGGAAAAAUGAUGAUUGACCAAAGGAGCAUUAGUGGAAAAGAACAGUGUAGCCCUGAGACAAUAGGAUGAUGUCUGGACCAAUGAGAACUGCCAGCAGGUGGCGCAGGAAUGCUCUUCUCACUUAGCCUCACGACCAAUGAGAACGGCCAGCAGGGGGCGCAGGAAUGCUCUUCUCUCUUAGCCUCUCGCAGAGGGCGCUACGAGCGCGCGCAUGCGUAGCACCCGUAGAGUGGCGCUUA
Long non-coding RNA from Ornithodoros turicata, 503 nucleotides. RefSeq lists it as uncharacterized. The record is from RefSeq and is a predicted model, not a curated record. The transcript is spliced from 4 exons. Lineage: Eukaryota; Metazoa; Arthropoda; Arachnida; Ixodida; Argasidae.